UACCCUUACGUCUGGGGCUACAAACACGCUACAAUGGCCGGUACAAUGGGCAGCGAAAUCGCGAGAUGGAGCAAAUCCCACCAAAGCCGGUCCCAGUUCGGAUAGCAGGCUGAAACUCGCCUGCUUGAAGUCGGAAUCGCUAGUAAUCGUAGGUCAGCACACUACGGUGAAUACGUUCCCGGGUCUUGUACACACUGCCCGUCAAGCCAUGGGAGUCACCAAUACCCGAAGUCUCACAUUCGUGGGCCUAAGGUAGGGGGGAUGACUGGGGUUAAGUCGUAACAAGGUAUCCGUACCGGAAGGUGCGGAUGGAUUACCUCCUUU
Molecule: ribosomal RNA, 324 nt
Filed under: Candidatus Saccharimonadota bacterium
Lineage: Bacteria; Candidatus Saccharimonadota
Description: bacterial SSU rRNA
Rfam family: Bacterial small subunit ribosomal RNA
Source: RNAcentral